Long non-coding RNA from Mauremys mutica (yellowpond turtle), 510 nucleotides. RefSeq lists it as uncharacterized. NCBI's taxonomy places the organism in Eukaryota, Metazoa, Chordata, Testudines, Geoemydidae. The transcript has 4 exons. The record is from RefSeq and is a predicted model, not a curated record.
CUCUGGCUGGGAAGGAAACAUGAGCACAGCAGUGGAGAGCAUCCUAACUGAUAGCGGCAAACAGCUGUUGAAUCUGCGGUAAAAACACUCUAAAGACAGGAGGCAGUCUCUUCCAGCAUAAGAGGUGUUAAUCACGUACUAAGAACCGAACUUUUAAUUCAACCAGAAAGAUGUGGAGUUGGUUUCAUUCUGGGAGUUGAAAUUACAUCUUGUGGGUCAUCAUUAUGCAGCCAAGCCGUGUGAGGAGAUGUUUGGCCAGGAGUAUGGAAACCUAGGAGCAAACAGCAGGUAAUCAAAGAUGGCUGAAAGCAAAGAGGAUUCUGCCACUCAGCAGUGAUGGUGACACCAGUGAUUGAACUCUUUCUAUUUCAGAAGAUUUCACAAAAGCUCAGGAAACUACCAUCACUGCAUCAGAGACCUCUAAAAGAGAAGAGGGUAAUGGGAUACUGUACAGUAAUGACUUCCUGCCAUGCCUCAUAGCAUUUUCAUGUACACAUUCAAGAAUCGGUG